This 254-nucleotide ribosomal RNA is filed under the name uncultured bacterium. Its description in RNAcentral is "partial 16S ribosomal RNA". It matches the Rfam family "Bacterial small subunit ribosomal RNA", at positions 524 to 776 of the family's 1533-position model. The record is from RNAcentral.
UACGAAGGGGGCUAGCGUUGCUCGGAAUCACUGGGCGUAAAGGGCGCGUAGGCGGCCGAUUAAGUCGGGGGUGAAAGCCUGUGGCUCAACCACAGAAUUGCCUCGAUACUGGUUGGCUUGAGACCGGAAGAGGACAGCGGAACUGCGAGUGUAGAGGUGAAAUUCGUAGAUAUUCGCAAGAACACCAGUGGCGAAGGCGGCUGUCUGGUCCGGUUCUGACGCUGAGGCGCGAAAAGCGUGGGGGAGCAAACAGG